This 328-nucleotide ribosomal RNA is filed under the name uncultured bacterium. RNAcentral describes it as "bacterial SSU rRNA". It matches the Rfam family "Bacterial small subunit ribosomal RNA", at positions 28 to 334 of the family's 1533-position model. The record is from RNAcentral.
GACGAACGCUGGCGGCGUGCCUAAUACAUGCAAGUCGAACGCUUCUUUCCUCCCGAGUGCUUGCACUCAAUUGGAAAGAGGAGUGGCGGACGGGUGAGUAACACGUGGGUAACCUACCCAUCAGAGGGGGAGUAACACUUGGAACAGGUGCUAAUACCGCAUAACAGUUUAUGCCGCAUGGCAUAAGAGUGAAAGGCGCUUUCGGGUGUCGCUGAUGGAUGGACCCGCGGUGCAUUAGCUAGUUGGUGAGGUAACGGCUCACCAAGGCCACGAUGCAUAGCCGAGUUGAGAGACUGAUCGGCCACAUUGGGACUGAGACACGGCCCAA